CCUACGGGAGGCAGCAGUCGAGAAUCAUUCACAAUGGGGGAAACCCUGAUGGUGCGACGCCGCGUGGGGGAAUGAAGGUCUUCGGAUUGUAAACCCCUGUCAUGUGGGAGCAAAUUAAAAAGAUAGUACCACAAGAGGAAGAGACGCCUAACUCUGUGCCAGCAGCCGCGGUAAUCCAGAGGUCUCAAGCGUUGUUCGGAAUCACUGGGCGUAAAGCGUGCGUAGGCUGUUUCGUAAGUCGUGUGUGAAAGGCGCGGGCUCAACCCGCGGACGGCACAUGUUACUGCGAGAGUAGAGUAAUGGAGGGGGAACCGGAAUUCUCGGUGUAGCAGUGAAAUGCGUAGAUAUCGAGAGGAACACUCGUGGCGAAGGCGGGUUCCUGGACAUUAACUGACGCUGAGGCACGAAGGCCAGGGGAGCGAAAGGGAUUAGAUACCCUUGUAGUC
RNAcentral lists this ribosomal RNA (446 nucleotides) under uncultured bacterium. Its description in RNAcentral is "partial 16S ribosomal RNA". It matches the Rfam family "Bacterial small subunit ribosomal RNA", at positions 338 to 795 of the family's 1533-position model. The record is from RNAcentral.